AUCAGGCCAGUAAUUCUCUCUGAGCUACUCUACACAUCAGGAAAAACAGAUCACUGACAUCCACUGUAUGAUGUCUCUUCAACCACACAGGCAAAAGCAGAUGCAGCUAAAGCAAGAAGGUCAGCAGCUACUUCAUUUGGGAGUCUUUCCAGGCUAAAAGUGACUGGUGUGCCAUGACACGUGUUCAUUUUUCAGGUGGCUGUAAAACAUCUACUGAAGUGGCCAUGGACUCUUACUAUGAUCUUCAGAUUUUAAAGCCAAAAAGAAGCAAUUUUUAGAACUAGUAUUUGUUUUUACAGAACAGUGAUCGGCAGUGUUGAAGAGUGCAGUGAUGCAAUGCCAUACAAAGCUUUAUCUCAAGAAAUGGAUUCAACAGCCUUGCCUUUCCGUAUUAAAUUUUAGAGAUUUGAGAAAAAUCACCGGACUUCCACCCAGCAGAAAUCAGGUGAAAGCUUCUUCACUGGCAGACAAGGAAGAGAGGACUUGAGAAAGAGUUGUAGAAUCAUUGAGUAUCCCGAGGUGGAAGAGACUCAUAAGCAUCACUGAGUUAAAACACAAUCAGGACCCAUGACAGCAGGGCUGACUCAGCUGCUUAGCAUGGAAAAUCACCAAAAAUAUUCCACCCUGAGAGCUGAUAAAAGACACAAAGCACUUAAAAAGCCUCAGAUGUAAGAAGUGCCAAAGUCACUUCUGUUGGCAGGCUUUGAAGAUAACUGGCCAUCAGUCAGAAGAUGACUAAAGAAGACACGCUUGCAUCUGGUAAUGCAACAAAACUUCCUCAGUGCUUCUUUCCUCCUCCUCCUGCUGUGCAGGGUGAUGUGGAGCAGCUGCCUCUGUGGCUGCUCUCUGUGCUUAUCAUGUGCAAGCAGUUAAACACUUCCCAGCGUGGAGAAGCGGUGCAGUCUCCUUGGCUGAAAUCUGCCUCCUGCAUGGCAAUGCAGAGGGGGAGGGAGGGCUGGGCUGAGGCAGCCUCACACCUUCACCAUUUCAUGCCUGAUCAGUUGCACCCCACUGUGCUGGAAAAUAUGUUAUGCCAAACUAAUCCUAUUCUGAGAAAACAUUUCAGGGGCAACUGCCAUACCUGUGAUAUUUCAAAUACGAGUUUGGAAUUCACACCUUAUCAGGAAGAGCACACUGACUUUCGUAGUAGUUGUCUGGUGAGUUUGGGUACAGCAGCACAAAUGUUUACUUACACCGUGUUCAGAGAUGAUAAACCACAGCUGCUAACAGAUUGCUAAUUAAAUCUUAGUUAAGCUUUGUCCUUCCCGCCUUUGUGCAAACCUUUAGCAUUUAAGAAUGCAAUUUGCAUGCACAGAGGCAGCAAAGGAAGCGCUGUUUUGGUAAUAAGAUGAGGAGGUGCUCUCUCCACAUUCAGGCUUUAUCUGCCACAGAGGUGCUGGUUCCUGGGAUUCAUUGCUGCUGCUUAUUCAGGCGCUCAGAGGUUUGUGCUGCAUAUUAAUUUCUGUCCAACACGGGAAUUCAAUUUGUGCCGUACAUUUCAUUUCUUCACAGAUUUAGAUUUAUUUCAUGUUCUCUGCUUUUAAUUAACUCUCUGGCACAGCUGCUGGACAGGAUAUAAAAACUCAUUGCUCUCCCCGCGCUGUGUGUACACCACCAAUCAUUUGCCACUUAGAUGGUGGUGCAGGAGCAAUCAGUUUCCAUGGCAACCCAGGCCCCAUUGAUUGAUUCCUUGCCAGUGUGGCAUCACCACGCGGAGCGAGGCUUGUGAUUUUUGCAUGCGUGCAACAUCCAUCUAAUUAAAAUGGGAUUAGAGAUUCAUCCCUGUAUGUGUUCAACAACUGCACUGCAAUCCAUUUAUGUAAAUGUCAACUCUAUUCAGCACCGUCAUCGGAGUGUUGAUGAAGAAACAGUUGCUUUGCUUCAGUAUCUUGCAGUGGGUGGGGGAAAUGGAAAGAGUAAAAUGUACACAGCCUUUUUUUGGCUAUUAGAAAAAAAUAAUAAAAUAAAGCCAUUCACUGAUGCUCAAAAGUUAUGAAAAUAGUAACCUGUUUCCAAAUCUGCAUUAGAA
Molecule: long non-coding RNA, 2029 nt
Filed under: Gallus gallus (chicken)
Lineage: Eukaryota; Metazoa; Chordata; Aves; Galliformes; Phasianidae
Description: long non-coding RNA NONGGAT012056
Source: RNAcentral